CUACGGGACGCUCCAGUCGCGAAUCUUUUACAAUGCACGCAAGUGUGAUAAAGCGAGCCAAAGUGCUAUUCGUAUAGAAUAGCUUUUCUUUACUGUAAAAAUGUAGAGGAAUAAGGACUGGGAAAGACUGGUGCCAGCCGCCGCGGUAAUACCAGCAGUUCAAGUUGCAUCCCUUUUUAUUGGGUCUAAAACAUCCGUAGCUUGAACUUUAAGUCCCUUGUGAAAUCUUACGUCUCAAGCGUGAGGCUUGCGGGGGAUACUGAAGUUCUAGAGAUCGGUAGACGUAAGGAGUACGCUGGAGGUAGUGGUAAAAUACGUUAAUCUUCGGUGGACUAACAAUGAGCGAAGGCACCUUACGAGGACGAAUCUGACAGUGAGGGAUGAAGGCCAGGGGCGCAAAACGGAUUAGAUACCCCAGUAGUC
This 423-nucleotide ribosomal RNA is filed under the name uncultured archaeon. RNAcentral describes it as "partial 16S ribosomal RNA". It matches the Rfam family "Archaeal small subunit ribosomal RNA", at positions 323 to 746 of the family's 1478-position model. The record is from RNAcentral.